AAAAAGAGGCCUGAAUGCAUAAAAGAAAAGUUGGAGAAUGACCCAUAUAGACUUUGCAAGAACAUUUUUCACUACAUGGGCUUCAGUUUGGCUCGGGAUGUCCAUAUCAAUUCCAUCAACUCCUUGGAAGCGAUGGUGCUCAAGGUGAUACUUUUGGAAGGUUACAGACAUGGGUACACCAACGGGAAGGUUGGCAAAAAUUCCAAGCCAACGGUUGUAGGUUGGAGUAGAGAAAGCAAGGUUGUGACUUAGUUCAUGAAUGGCCAGGAAGAGAUUAUGGUUCAG
This 285-nucleotide unclassified non-coding RNA is filed under the name Hevea brasiliensis (rubber tree). Lineage: Eukaryota; Viridiplantae; Streptophyta; Magnoliopsida; Malpighiales; Euphorbiaceae. The record is from RNAcentral.